CAGUUUCUUUAAAGGGUUCUCAGAAACCCUCGAGAUAGCAGAUGAUAUGGCGAUUGACAUUCCUUAUGUAUGGCAGUACAUAGCGGAGCUCGUUAAUCCUGUGCUUCGGGAAGGAGGAAUCUCUUUGAGAGAAUUAUUAAUAGCCAAAAGGAAGUGGAGGCCUUAUGGAGGGACUCUAAACUGAGCUGGGCUGAUUUUCUUCCUGAAACCGUGGAUGGGAACAACUUCAUUACUGAGCAGGUGAGCUGUUGGCUGCACAGUAAAAAAUGGGGUGUUAAUAUUUCAGAGUAAAGUUAUUUUAACCCAGAUAGAGUAUUUUCAACACUUUGGGGAGUAAAGUUGCUCUAUCAAUGGAGUUAAAAGUGAGUGUAAAAAUCUGCAGAAACGCAGUGACAAUUUUAACUCUACAACAGUGAUGAAUACCCGCCACUCUGCUGCGCUUCUCAAACGUUUAGCACGAAUUUCGGUGGAGGAAGAUUGUGAAGGAGCAACGCUAGGUCACUGAUAUUGCUAGGUAAGUAAUAUCCUUUGUUGUCCACACCAAAACGGUAUUUUUUAACUUUACAUAAUUUUAAAGUGUGCUGAUAUUAGUUGAGGUCAUAUUACAAGUUAUAGCAACCCGUACUCUGCCAAACUGUUCCUUAAUUUGUUGCAAUAUUUUCACGAAUGAAGUUGGUCAGAAUGUUUUAUGCGUAAAAUAACGUUAACUCCGUCACUAUAACAACAAAAGAUUUAAUACAGUUAAUAGCUAUUCUUAGCUAAUGUAUUUUUUAGCUUCCCAGGCAACGUUCAUCUAGGUUUUUUUAUAUACUGGUAACGUUAGCAUGCAUCUGAUAGUUAAUGUUGGUCUUAUAUAACGAUAACUUAGAUCACUGAUUGCAUGACGUGUUUGUUUAACAUGGCUUAACAAUUUUAACGGAUUACUGUUCGAACUAAAAUAGCCAAUGAGCUAGCUAACUUUGGCACAGUUAUUUGGUAGCUAAUUUGAGACUGUGCCUCUUAACUUUAACUAGCUUUAAUUUGUAGAAAAUAAACGUUAUAUUCA
Long non-coding RNA from Silurus meridionalis, 1045 nucleotides. RefSeq lists it as uncharacterized. The record is from RefSeq and is a predicted model, not a curated record. The transcript has 3 exons. NCBI's taxonomy places the organism in Eukaryota, Metazoa, Chordata, Actinopteri, Siluriformes, Siluridae.